GAACGAUGUAAUUCCAUCCCCAGGCUGAAACACAUUAGCGCGUUUGGCAAGUGCUCUAUCAGAGGGCCAUCAGACUGAGGCUCGUGCAUGAGGGGAUAGCAUGCUUUUACUUUCACUCUCUUUGUAUUAAAAAACGAUUUCCCGGUCGGAAUAUUAUCGCUUUUUUAUGAGAAAAAUGGCAUAAAAAUUGAUUUUAAACAGCGGUUGACAUGCUUCGAAGUACGGUAAUGGAAUAUUUAGAAUUUUUUUGUCACGAAACGCGUCGUGCUCGUCACCCUUAUUUACCCUUUCGGAUAGUGUCUUGAACGCACGAACAAAACGCCGCUGUUUGGAUAUAACUAUGGAUUAUUUGGGACCAAACCAACAUUUGUUAUUGAAGUAGAAGUCCUGGGAGUGCAUUCUGACGAAGAACAGCAAAGGAUCUGCAGUCCUGGUGCCAGAGGCCCCCAGUAAACCUCCAACAGAAGCUCCAGGUUGUCCAUUACAGGAGUGGUUAAGAUGGUAGCGGGGUUAACAGGCCGUGGCUGAGGUCCUUGAUGAUCUUCCUGUCCUUCCUGUGAGACUGGGUGCUGUAGAUAUCCUGGAGGGCAGGCAGAAAUCCCCCGGUGAUGCCUUGGGCUGACCGCACCACCCGCAAGCCCUGCGAUUGUGAACGGUGCAAUUGCCGUACCAGGCGGUGAUACAACCCAGCAGAAUGCUCUUAAUAGUGAAUCUGUAGAGGUUUGUGAAGGUCUUAGGGGCCUAGCUGAAUUUCUUCAGCCUCCUGAGGUCCUCUUAUAGAGUCUCAGUGUUGUCAUUCUGGUACAUAAAAACAACACAUUUUCAACCCUCAUAUGACUUUACAAGUUUAGUUUGUUUUGUUUCCUUAACUCUGUGAGAACCACCAUAACAUAAGCAAAAUGGCCACGGGGUUCGAUCCCACUGCUUCUGUU
RNAcentral lists this long non-coding RNA (932 nucleotides) under Salmo salar (Atlantic salmon). Its description in RNAcentral is "lncRNA (ENSSSAG00000098819.1)". The record is from RNAcentral. Lineage: Eukaryota; Metazoa; Chordata; Actinopteri; Salmoniformes; Salmonidae.